GACGAACGCUGGCGGCGUGCUUAACACAUGCAAGUCGAGCGGUAAGGCCCUUUCGGGGGGUACACGAGCGGCGAACGGGUGAGUAACACGUGGGUGACCUGCCCUUAGCUCUGGGAUAAGCCUGGGAAACUGGGUCUAAUACCGGAUAUGACUCCAUAACGCAUGUUGUGGGGUGGAAAGCCUUGUGCGGCUAGGGAUGGGCCCGCGGCCUAUCAGCUUGUUGGUGGGGUGAUGGCCUACCAAGGCGACGACGGGUAGCCGGCCUGAGAGGGCGACCGGCCACACUGGGACUGAGACACGGCCCAGACUCCUACGGGAGGCAGCAGUGGGGAAUCUUGCGCAAUGGGCGAAAGCCUGACGCAGCGACGCCGCGUGGGGAUGAC
This 383-nucleotide ribosomal RNA is filed under the name uncultured bacterium. Its description in RNAcentral is "bacterial SSU rRNA". It matches the Rfam family "Bacterial small subunit ribosomal RNA", at positions 28 to 412 of the family's 1533-position model. The record is from RNAcentral.